RNAcentral lists this long non-coding RNA (568 nucleotides) under Zonotrichia albicollis (white-throated sparrow). RNAcentral's name for it is "lncRNA (ENSZALG00000013168.1)". The record is from RNAcentral. Lineage: Eukaryota; Metazoa; Chordata; Aves; Passeriformes; Passerellidae.
GUUUUCUCAUUCUCUGCCCCAAUGAAGGAAAAGCCAUAAGGGGCUCUGAGCAUCAGGACAGUCGUGUGCAGGUGGGACCGGCCCUUCUCACUUCUGUGUUCCUCAGGGGGAAACAUCACUGCCUCUCUUCUGAAACCCUGCUGCCAGCUGCAAAAAAGGAAUGGUGUUUUGACCAGAUCUGUAAUUAAUCACAACUGGUGCUUAGAUGAGAUGGAGAACAUCCUCAUCUUGGAAAAAAACUUCUUGUGCUGCUUUUAAACAAAGUACAAAUCAAAUUUGAAUCCAGGACAAUUACAUCACUCUCGUGAACUUAUGGAAAGUGAGAACAACAGAGUGGUAGGUCCUCAAGGUGUGGAUUUCUCCAAAGCUGAGCUAAAAGUGACAUGAUUUCCACAAAUUUCUCCUGGGAUCUUCACGCCAUGUCAGAAGUGUCUGCUUCACAGUCUGGAAUUGUUGGGAGGUUGUUGCACAUGGAGGUGUCACUUGAGGAUAAUGCUUCUGAUAAAUAUUACUGCAUCACUGUGGAGGGGCAGAGCUGCAUUUUAAGGUAUGUAAGAUGAAGUAAGAA